UACAGAGGGUGCAAGCGUUGUUCGGAAUCAUUGGGCGUAAAGGGCGUGUAGGCGGUUUGUUAAGUCAUGUGUGAAAUCCCUCGGCUCAACCGGGGAACGACGCAUGAAACUGGCAAGCUAGAGCACCAAAGAGGGCGGUGGAAUUCCCGGUGUAGCGGUGAAAUGCGUAGAGAUCGGGAGGAACACCAAUGGCGAAAGCAGGUAACUGGACUAUUACUGACACUCAGCUGCGAAAGCUAGGGGAGCAAACAGG
Molecule: ribosomal RNA, 253 nt
Filed under: uncultured bacterium
Lineage: Bacteria
Description: partial 16S ribosomal RNA
Rfam family: Bacterial small subunit ribosomal RNA
Source: RNAcentral